GAGAAAUCGGAUUAGGGAGAAGGGGGUUACGAGAGGGCGAAGUGGCUGGGAAAGGAGGUGGCGUGAGAUACAGCAGCCCCUGGGGAAGGAGGAGAUGGGGAUGUGGGUGGAGGCGAACUGGAGCAGAAAGCGCGAUGGAGCAAAGGUACAAAGGGGGUGGGAGCUAACCGGGUACAGUGCACCGCUGGAUGUAAGCAGGGGAAAGCGGUGCACGCCCCUAUCUUUAUUCACACCCAGGCACAUAACCCAUAACCGGAAAAGAGUCACAGCAGUACAAUUAUUAAAAGCAUCUGAGCUGAGCUCUGCCCUGACCUGACUGAGGGGUUCUGGAACGGCCGGUGCAGCAUCCCGGCUGCUAACGGCUGGAGAGCUCAGGCCUUGGGGAGAGGGCUCAGGUUCUUCUUGACUCAACUUUUCUCCGUUGGAAGCUGAUGACAGUACAGGGCCCCACCACUUAGAUCCAACACAAAGUGUAGGAGACAGCGAAUAAAAUACCACCCAACCACAAUCCAAACUCGGGUCAGAGAGAAAGAAAAGUCAAAUUUGCACAUAGCCACGUACCUUACCGAUGUUUGUCUGGAAGCGGAUUAACCUACUGAAAAGACAACAGCAACGCGGCUCUUUAUCUCCGUUUACCUAAACUACUAUUACCCAUCACAGACUCUUAACUGGAGCAUCAUUCCUCAGCUGCACAGGAUUGGACUCCAACCAAAUGGCUUUCAUGCAGUGUCCAGUUUUUGCCAGACACUAGGCACAGAAACCGUUGAGGAAUGUGGUCUAUAGGAAGAGACCACUGGAGAGGUAGAGGAGGAAAUGCAGCUGGCUGGUGUUGAGAAUGAGCAACAUGGAAAGCAACACUCUGCUAUGUGUCCUACUCCUAGGCAGAUGAGACAUUGGGAGUGGCCAUCAUUAACGGGCAUGGCACAAUCAAAUGAGCAGUUCUUAAAGCCGGAUAGAAUGCACCAUGAUGGAGGAGUACCCCCUGGAUGGGGGUGAAGGAGUGUCUCACUACACAUACCCCUUAAAAGGUUUGUGUUUAUGUGACAUUAUUGACACGAACUGUGACCAUAUAGACCAUUGUUGCAACCAAGGUCAUAUAGUGGCACCAAAUCUUGUACAGGGGAGGUCAA
This is a long non-coding RNA of Trachemys scripta elegans, 1130 nucleotides long. RefSeq lists it as uncharacterized. The transcript has 5 exons. NCBI's taxonomy places the organism in Eukaryota, Metazoa, Chordata, Testudines, Emydidae. The record is from RefSeq and is a predicted model, not a curated record.